This 537-nucleotide ribosomal RNA is filed under the name Streptomyces caniferus. RNAcentral's name for it is "bacterial SSU rRNA". It matches the Rfam family "Bacterial small subunit ribosomal RNA", at positions 115 to 665 of the family's 1533-position model. The record is from RNAcentral. Lineage: Bacteria; Bacillati; Actinomycetota; Actinomycetes; Kitasatosporales; Streptomycetaceae.
ACGUGGGCAAUCUGCCCUUCACUCUGGGACAAGCCCUGGAAACGGGGUCUAAUACCGGAUACGACCACCGACCGCAUGGUCUGGUGGUGGAAAGCUCCGGCGGUGAAGGAUGAGCCCGCGGCCUAUCAGCUUGUUGGUGGGGUGAUGGCCUACCAAGGCGACGACGGGUAGCCGGCCUGAGAGGGCGACCGGCCACACUGGGACUGAGACACGGCCCAGACUCCUACGGGAGGCAGCAGUGGGGAAUAUUGCACAAUGGGCGAAAGCCUGAUGCAGCGACGCCGCGUGAGGGAUGACGGCCUUCGGGUUGUAAACCUCUUUCAGCAGGGAAGAAGCGAGAGUGACGGUACCUGCAGAAGAAGCGCCGGCUAACUACGUGCCAGCAGCCGCGGUAAUACGUAGGGCGCAAGCGUUGUCCGGAAUUAUUGGGCGUAAAGAGCUCGUAGGCGGCUUGUCACGUCGGAUGUGAAAGCCCGGGGCUUAACCCCGGGUCUGCAUUCGAUACGGGCAGGCUAGAGUUCGGUAGGGGAGAUCGGA